AGGUUUGUCUGAGAAGAGCUAUUUGUCUGUAAAUGAAGUUUCUGAAUGUCGGUCUAGUGUCUCAGAAGUGAAUCUGGAGUUGAAUCAAGAGCAGCAAAAUCUUAUUGGGCAGGAAAAUGUUUCUCUGGAGCAGACUAAAGAGGAUGGUCAGGUGGAAGCCCUAACUGAGGAAGGAAAGGGUGGAUUUUUGAUGGGUGAUGCUUUGGUGGCUAGUACAGCUUGUAAAAGUGAAUCUGAAAAGGGUAACUGUGAUUUGCUGUCAGUGGCUCAGUGUAGUAAAAAGAGCAGUUUAUCUGCUGGGAGUGGCAAGGUGCCUGGUAAGGAAGCUGCCCCACUCUCCCAGUCUUUGUCUGUAAUCAGCCCUGUGUGCUGGGACAAAGGAGAGGAAGGCAGGAAAAGUUUGGAGGAGCCUGGGCGGCCUUGUGAGCUGAUGGCUUUGUCUGGUCAGCAGUUUGGGAAGGCAGGGAGAGGGGAAGAUGAGUGUCCCUAUACCUUACCUGUUUCCUGUGUGGAGAAUAGUGACAGUGAAGGAAAUGUGCCUGUGUCUGUCAGGGGUAUUGACUUGCCUAUGGAGGAAGCUACCUCAGUCUCCAAGCAGUUGUCUGUGAACGGCCUCGUGUGCUGGGACAAGGGAAAUGAAAUCCCAAGCUAUGUGUCUGGUAAAAAAGGUGUCUCCAGCUCUUCUUUGUCUGUGGAGCAGACAGAAGGUGCCUUUCAGCCUGUGAUGGUUGAGGUUAGUGCAGUUGUCUCAAAGUUGGUUCUGAAUUCAACUAAAGCCCAGGAAGGGAAUGGUCCUAAGUCUGUGUCUGCUGGGGAGAAUGGCACUGUAACUAAGUUGCAUCCAGUUAGUGUCUUAGCAAAAUCCCAGAGACCAGACAAUUCUGGUGCUUAUAUUUUGCCUAUUGCUAGUGUGUGGUUGGUAAAGGGUGUAGCAACACUGUCUAAUCCAGGUAAUAGCCUAGCCGGGGCACACGGAGAGCAUGCAGGUGAUUUGGUUGUGUUACCUACUGAUGGUGUGGAAACUUGUAGCAAGAAGGAAAGGAUUCCUAAACUUGUGUGUGGCAAAGGAAAGGGAAAUGUUUCUAACCUUUCAUCUAGGAAGUCUAUGGGUUUGCCUGAAAGGGGAUUGUGUAGAGAUCUGCUUGAUGGGCCAAAGGAGAUCCUGGAUGUAAGUAAGACCCAGAAAAAGUCUGUUGUUGCUCAGGAAAGUGUUCCUUUAGAGCAAGCCCUAGGUGAAGAGGGUAAGGGCAAAAUUUCUGUGAGGGGUGAUUUGCUGCUUAGAAAAGCUCCUGUAGAAAGGAAUCCUCAUGGUAAUUUGUGCAAGCAGUUCCCUGCAAAUGAAGGGUGUGAGAGUGAUUUAAUAAAGGAAGUUUCGGUUCCUAACAGCCAGAAAUUUUCUGUUGUGAAUGGAUCCACUGACUUUCCUUUCGAAAGAUCCAGUGUGGGUAGCUUUGAGAAGGUCUCAGAUGGAGCAAAAGCUGUUAAGAAAGUUGAGCAGCCCUAUAACCGAGUGGCUGUGUUUGGCCAGCUUGUUGGGAAGACAAUGGUGUUGGAACAGGAAUGUCUCCAUUCUAAUUCUUUAAGUGAGCAGUUUGUGCUUCAGGGUCUGAGGACAGAUUUGGUUACUGAUGUGUCAGAGCAGAACAGUUUUAUGGCUAAAUGCUUGAGGAUGCAGGAGAGAGCAAGCAAACUCUCACCCUCAGACUCUUUGGAUUUGUGUGGUAUCUCUUUAAGACAGAGUCCAGCCUUGGAAAUGAUAGCAGUUAAGGGUAUGAAAACUGGUGGACUGGCUUCUGUCUGUGGUAAUGCAAAUUACUUGUCUGGCUGGGAGGGGAAGGACUUGCUAAUAGCUGUUAGCACAGAGAGCCCACCCCAUCAGCCAGUGAAUUCUGGUAAGCAAGAAAAAUCAGGGUUUGAUCCUGCAGGACAAGGAGGAAAGAGAAAACUGAAUUUUGCAAAGGGAAGCAACAGGUUAACCCUAAAAUGCCCAAACUCCAAUGGUAUUGAGCCAAAGGUGUGGCAUGACAACCAUAAUUGUAGAUGGACACUUGCAAUGGAUUUGUUGUUAAUGCGAAUGGCGAUUUUGUAACUAAUGUGUUGCUAUUACCAAGAACUGUAAGAAUGUACAAUGUUCCUAAUCUGUUGGAAAAUCCCUUGAACAUGUUAAAAGGAAUACAUGAGAACACACUUUAUGUUAAAAGGCCUUGUUACACUGAUGUUUCAGCUGAUGCCUAUAAACAGUAUUGGAACUUUUCACAGGAGAAAAGACAUUCCAGACCUAAUGUGCUGUAUGAAAAGGAAGACUGAGGCACACUACCAUAUUGCCUUCAUGGCUAAAUGCCAAGAUUCCUGUACUAUGAACAUCAUUAAUAUCUGCAUUUAUUUGCAAAAAGAAGAACAGGAGUACUUGUGGCACCUUAGAGACUAUUUAUUUGAUGUUAAUUGGGUUCCAAACAUUUGCCCGACCUUGUAUGGAUAAAGUAGCUGUUUUCUUUAGCUCUUGGCAAGGUCACAUGAGACAUACAGGAACCAUGCUGCCAGAGCAGAUCCAAUCCACUAUUGUUCUAACCAAGUUUUACCUUGAGGUUGUAAAGAGGUUCAAUCAUGUUGUUGAACACAAUUUUGAUAAACCAUUUCUGUUAUACUCUGAUAUGGCUUCUAACCCCNNNNNNNNNNNNNNNNNNNNNNNNNNNNNNNNNNNNNNNNNNNNNNNN
This 2714-nucleotide long non-coding RNA is filed under the name Chrysemys picta bellii (western painted turtle). Its description in RNAcentral is "lncRNA (ENSCPBG00000002347.1)". The record is from RNAcentral. Lineage: Eukaryota; Metazoa; Chordata; Testudines; Emydidae.